RNAcentral lists this long non-coding RNA (1229 nucleotides) under Zostera marina. Its description in RNAcentral is "long non-coding RNA (ZMAR_LNC005620)". Lineage: Eukaryota; Viridiplantae; Streptophyta; Magnoliopsida; Alismatales; Zosteraceae. The record is from RNAcentral.
CCAAUGGAUAUUAUGAAUACUUUUAUGAAAAUGAUACUCAAUAUCCAUACCAAACUUUCCCCAAUACUUUUCAUGAUAACAUAUUCUUUACCAACUAUGUGACACCGAUAUUCAUCCCAAUGCCAAGUCCACAGUACAUGUUGAACACACAUCUUUAUGUCAAUAUUUUCCCAAACUAUGCACCUCAAACUCAUACUAAUAUUCCUCAUAUCAUUGAUGUUAUGAUGCGUCAAAGCUUUAUGAAUGCAGUUGAUGUCCAGUACUGUCUGCAACUAAGUCGUUCUAUCUAAAUGUCCACUUUCUUUUAUCCGCAGUAAUAGUUUUCAUUUCAUUUGCCGUGCUUACUGACCUUAUUAUGAUGUUGUAAUACUUACUGAUAUGUCGUGCAACUUAUAUUACUUUGCUGUUUUAGUUUUAGUUAGUAGGUAGUAUGGUAUCGUCUAUUGUAAUCGUAUUGGAUGUGUAAUAUUUUCCACUUAUCUUUCCCGUCUUAUAAAAUGUUCUAUUUUCUAAAUUUUUUUUUCAUUUCAAAUUUUACCGCCCCAAUAUCAUUUUUCAUUCUUAUUAAAUGAAAUCUAAAAAUUCAGAAAAUAAUUCUUUGUUCUUCUAAUAAUUAAUGUGAGAUGUUAACCAUGUUUAUGAACCCACCCCCAAUCCCAAGUUUCAUUCUUAUUAAAUGAAAUCCAGAAAUAAUUAUUUAUUUCUCGUUAAUAAUGUUUAGAUGUUACCUAUGUCUAUCAACUUCUUUUGUAUAUAGUUACUAAUUUUUUAAUAAAUGACUAAAAAUAAACACAUCAAAUAUUUUUUGAUCUUUAGAAAUUCAGUAUUUAUCAUAUUUUUCCAAUCGUCAUGGAGUCUUCAACGCAAGACAACACCGAUCUCGACUUUUUUUUUUGAAACAAAAUCAGCUGAUAAUAUAGAUUCCGAAACAAAAAAUAGGGUGUGACCACAUGCGAUCCACCCCACACCCUCCGCAUUGUUCCGACCCCGGAUCUUACGAUCGUUUGGGCCUUCACAACCUUUGGGGAACUGACUCGAUGUUUCCUAGAACGAUCUAUGCCUCAUCGUUCUUACGUAGUGGGCCUAAGGCAAUGGGGAGUGUAAAAACCCUGGUGUGCCCAAGGCAUCUUUUCCUUUGCCAAGGGAAAACUCUGCCAUUACCUUUCGGUCUACUACACAUAAGUGACUCCACAUAUCGUUUCUACUUUAAUAAUAGAGUCCACCCCCUG